GCCGUCUUGGUGGCAUGUUUACACUCCGGUUCUAACCUAAAAAACAAACAUGUAUCUUUGAUAGACCAAAAACUUUUAACUUGAUUAAUUACAAUUGUGUCGUGGAAGUAGUCUUUGAUUGUUAAUUUAUCGAAAAUAAGUUAUCAUGCUACAGUUCUUAUCCUGGUGGCUCAGUUCAGUUUGGUUCAGUCCACGUUUUGAACAUUCGGUACCACUAUUGUCACCGUGCAACCUGUCUAUCAAUUGGCAUAAUGAAGAAAAUAUGUUUUGAGAUUUUUGGAGCGCUUCCUACACUUCAGCCUGCUCCUCUUUAUUCUGGAUUCAGAAAGCGGCUACUAUCCUAUGACAUGGCUCUCAGUUUCUCAUCUGAGCAGUCAAGCGAUAGGAAAUUAGCAGCAACUAAAAAUCAUCUGGUUUUGAGAAAUUCACCAUGAGUCGCCUCAAAACAAAAUCAUCACAAGAAGUUGUAGUGUGUUCAGAGUAAAUGAGCAUAUACCUAGUUCUCCUAACAUUUUUAUGUCUGACCAGAAAUUAUCUAAGAAAUUUAAAGUGGCAUGAAGUUCGAAUAGCUACCCCUUACAUUCAUUCCUCUAAUUCUAAAUGAGAAAAUAAAUGAAAGUGAAAGUGCUGUGUUUAAAGUAUCCUAAGUAGCUUCAUCGGUGUUUUUAUUCAGCUUAUAUUUCUGAUGAAGGAUCAACUGAACUUGGUGAGUCGUCACCAUUAUAUUUUCUUCUUGCAUGCAAUUUUGCCACAAGUAACCAUCAACAGCUGAGUCCCCAAAUUUGUUCAUUAAGGUAUUAAAAGAAUACUUUUUACAAAACCCUUUCUACACCUUGCAAGAGUUUUUAAAUUUGUAAGAGUACUCUUUUUUGUAACUUUUUCUAAUGUGACUUGUAUUGAGCCUUUCUGUUGAGGCUAAUGUACUAAUUUUUACAAAUAGCAAAAUAACAGAUUAUGUAAAAUGCAAAAGUGCCCUCGAAAUUGAAUAAAUUCUGCAUUUUUUUCUGAGUUUGUUGGCUCCUUAAGCCUGAAUGAUGUACUUACGUUUUUAUUUUGUUUUACCAGCAUUUAUUUGUGUGUACAUUGUCAUGAAGCGCACCUCAACUAUUUCAGGUGUCAAGGAAAGGCUUUCUUU
This 1135-nucleotide long non-coding RNA is filed under the name Bemisia tabaci. RNAcentral's name for it is "lncRNA ENSSSA1NGG014247". Lineage: Eukaryota; Metazoa; Arthropoda; Insecta; Hemiptera; Aleyrodidae. The record is from RNAcentral.